AUGAAGAUUGUGGGGGCUG
RNAcentral lists this non-coding RNA (19 nucleotides) under Mus musculus (house mouse). The record is from RNAcentral. Lineage: Eukaryota; Metazoa; Chordata; Mammalia; Rodentia; Muridae.